This 78-nucleotide transfer RNA is filed under the name Chloroflexota bacterium. Its description in RNAcentral is "tRNA-Pro". It matches the Rfam family "tRNA". From Rfam's summary of the family: Transfer RNA (tRNA) molecules are approximately 80 nucleotides in length. Their secondary structure includes four short double-helical elements and three loops (D, anti-codon, and T loops). Further hydrogen bonds mediate the characteristic L-shaped molecular structure. tRNAs have two regions of fundamental functional importance: the anti-codon, which is responsible for specific mRNA codon recognition, and the 3' end, to which the tRNAs corresponding amino acid is attached (by aminoacyl-tRNA synthetases). tRNAs cope with the degeneracy of the genetic code in two manners: having more than one tRNA (with a specific anti-codon) for a particular amino acid; and 'wobble' base-pairing, i.e. permitting non-standard base-pairing at the 3rd anti-codon position. Lineage: Bacteria; Bacillati; Chloroflexota. The record is from RNAcentral.
CGGUAAGUAGCGCAGUUUGGUUAGCGCACUCGUUUUGGGAAUGAGGGGUCGAGAGUUCAAAUCUCUCCUUACCGACCA